Sapajus apella (tufted capuchin) is the source of this 3252-nucleotide RNA transcript. It is a transcript of the gene named POC1 centriolar protein B, with no coding region annotated. NCBI's taxonomy places the organism in Eukaryota, Metazoa, Chordata, Mammalia, Primates, Cebidae. The record is from RefSeq and is a predicted model, not a curated record. The transcript has 12 exons.
AAAAAAAAAAAAAAAAGUACCAAAGCUGAGGCUCAUCCUCGCACCUGCCUGCCCUUUGCCAGCAGGCGGCGCCCGGGAACGUGCAUUUCAAAGGGGCCGCGGUUCCUGCGAUGCGCUGGACUCCGGGAAGCGCGAACCGAGCGUUUUGCGGUCCCUGUGGGGAGAGCUGGUGCCGGCGUCGCCCUGUGGCGGGACUGUGCGCGGAGCCCGUGCUGCUGUCCUGCCCCGCCGCCCUGCCGCCCCGCCAAAUCGCCGCCUGCGUAGCCAUUCCGAGGCCGGCCUCCGGGGGAGUGGCAGUGUCGAUCCCGGCCCCCAGAAUUCGAGGUGUGCGGCUGCUUUCAAAACUUGAUAACUUUCCUUUUCAGGAGGACCCCGUUCUGGAGCGUUAUUUCAAAGGUCACAAAGCUGCGCUCACCUCCUUGGACUUCAGCUCCAACGGCAAGCAACUCGCUACUGCUUCUUGGGAUACCUUUCUCAUGCUAUGGAAUUUCAAGCCACAUGCUAGAGCUUACAGAUAUGUGGGUCACAAGGAUGUUGUAACCAGCGUACAGUUUUCUCCACACGGAAACUUAUUGGCAUCUGCCUCACGAGACAGAACCGUGAGACUCUGGAUUCCUGAUAAGAGAGGAAAGUUCUCAGAAUUUAAAGCUCAUACAGCUCCAGUUCGAAGUGUAGACUUUUCAGCUGAUGGCCAGUUUCUAGCUACAGCUUCUGAGGACAAAUCCAUAAAAGUAUGGAACAUGUAUCGCCAGCGCUUCCUGUAUUCCUUAUAUCGACAUACACACUGGGUACGCUGUGCCAAAUUUUCACCUGAUGGAAGACUAAUUGUGUCAUGUAGUGAGGAUAAAACUAUUAAAAUUUGGGACACCACAAAUAAGCAAUGUGUUAAUAACUUCUCAGAUUUCAUUGGAUUUGCAAAUUUUGUGGACUUUAACCCUAGUGGUACAUGCAUAGCUUCAGCAGGUUCUGAUCAAACCGUGAAAGUCUGGGACAUAAGAGUGAACAAAUUACUACAGCAUUAUCAAGUUCACAGCAGUGGAGUUAAUUGCAUAUCAUUCCAUCCUUCGGGUAACUAUCUCAUCACAGCUUCUUCAGAUGGUACCCUUAAGAUUCUGGACCUCUUAGAAGGAAGGCUCAUCUAUACACUUCAAGGACAUACGGGGCCUGUCUUUACUGUUUCAUUUUCAAAAGGUGGAGAGCUGUUCGCAUCAGGAGGUGCAGACACACAGGUCUUAUUAUGGAGGACUAACUUUGAUGAAUUGCACUGUAAAGGUCUUAAUAAAAGAAAUCUCAAAAGAUUGCAUUUUGAUUCACCACCUCAUCUUCUUGAUGUCUACCCAAGAACACCACAUCCCCAUGAGGAAAAAGUUGAGACUGUUGAAAUUAAUCCAAAGCUUGAGGUAAUCGAUUUGCAGAUCUCUACUCCCCCUGUUGUGGAUAUCCUUUCUUUUGAUUCUACCACAAUUGUUCAUUGCCAUAUGGAGGACUUUCUGUUUUUCUACUGUGACAACAGAAACCAGUGGUAGAACUCUGCCAGACAAGGGUGAAGAGGUCUGUGGAUAUUUCUUGAACCCCUCCUUAUUGUCACCAGAAUGUUCACCAACAACCACAAAAAAGAAAACAGAAGACAUGAGUGAUCUCCCCUCCGAAAGUCAAAGGAGCAUACCUCUUGCUGUGACUGAUGCUUUAGAGCAUAUUAUGGAACAACUCAAUGUUUUGACGCAGACUGUUUCAAUCUUGGAGCAGCGACUGACUUUGACAGAGGAUAAACUGAAAGACUGCCUUGAAAAUCAGCAAAAGCUUUUCAGUGCUGUUCAACAGAAAAGCUGAAUAAAAAAUUCAUUUUCAUUUGUUGGGCAGAGGCACAAUAAAUGAACAAAUGUACGUAGGAAGGCAGUGCAAGAUACUCCACGCAACACAACCACGUGCUUUUUAUUCCACAGCAAGAAUACACUUACCGUGGCAUUUCUUAAAAGGGUGAGCAACAGAACAAAAGGUAGUAAAGGCAUAUUUAAGGACUAAUUUAAAUACACAAAUCAAUGUGAAGGACUAAUUUACAUUACUGUCAUUUAUGAUUGCAGUAAUAAAGUGAUAAGCAUUCAAGCAACUGUAUUUUCCCCAUAUUAUUUCUAAGUGUCCAUUUUCAUUUCUAGGCCAAAUCCUGCCAGGAGAGUAACCAAAUCUCUAGAUUUCACUGUUAAAUCAUUUUGGAUUCACCACAUUCAGACAGUCAUGGGGUGAAAUAAUUCACUUCCCUGUAAAAUAGCAUCCUGUAUGCAAAGAAUGAGUUAUUGAUCUGACUUUUUAUAUUUCUUUCUGUUCAAAAAAAUUAUCCUUACUAAUGCCUUGAAAAGAUGAAUAAAAAUUCCCAGACCACAGAAUUUCCACAGCAAGAAUACAGUUAUUUUAAUUAACAACAGCAUAGAUAUGUCAUAGGGUUGUUUUACUUAAUUUAUGGUGUACUUUGCUUAUCCAUUGGCCAACUGGAAGGAAAUGAAACACACCUUUCUAUCACAGAUGAAUGUGCUGAAUGAUUUGGGUUGUAUCUGAUCAUGGUUCACAAAAAUUGUGUUAGUGUGAUUUCAGUAUGCCAAAAAGCCAGAGUGAUGCAACAGUGACAUUUAAAAAUAUGCACACAUGUAUGUACACACGCUUCAGAAAUGUUGUUGCUUAGGGUGCUUUGGGCAGCUAAAUAGUAAGUACUUUUUAAAUUUUAGCAUCAUCAUCUUCCUAUUUAAUGAAUUGUGAUUUAAAACAAAAUGAAAAUGAGCCAGAUAUUCUAAAAGAUCCUGGUUACAAAUUAAGAAUUUAAUUUUAUUUUAAACCAAAUUGAGAUUAAAUUGGAGAAAAGCAAGCAAAUUAAUUUCAGCUUGAUUAUCAACCUGUAUCAAGAACAAAGAUGGAAGGAGGUGUCCCCAUUUAUGGUGUGUAUAGGUAACAUAGGGAAAAUACUAUUCUGUGUUUUGGAAGAGAAGAAAUAGUGCCUUCCUAUUUAUUUCUAUAUCUAGAAAUUUUUCUCAAAUUUCAGUUGUAUCUAUGAGAUGGGUUUCUAAGUAUCUUAUUGUGUGUUAUAAGUGCCUUUUCAUAUCAUACUAAGUGUGAGCUUCUGGACAUUUUCAAGAGCUUACAAAGACUAAGUGACUAUUUUUAUAACCUCAUUGAGAAGACUAAGAAACAAAUGAAAUGUCCUAUCAAUUUUGUUUACUUCGUCAUGCUUCAAACAAUAAAGACAUUUUUGCUUUAAAAGCAAAA